GAUGGCUUAAAAAGAGUCGAGCAAGUGAUACAAAUGCACGCACAUAUAUGGCAAAGGGUAACUCACAUUUAUUGGUGGCUGUACUGACCACGGAACGUGUAGCUUUCCCCGGCUUGGCAGCCGCCUGUUUGAGCUUCUUUUGUAGCUCCUUUUGCUUCUUGGGCGUAGUCUUGAUAUAGCAGUUGCCCUCGUCAUCUAUGAAAUACUUAUCCUCGUCGUCCUCCUCCUCCUCCUCCGCUUCCUCCGCAUGAUCCAAAUCAGCCUCCGCCUCCUCCAUCGGUUUCGAUCCACCAGCCUCCGCACCAUUUUCAUCCAAGUCGAUGGCCUCGGCGCUGAUGGCCUCCAAAAUCGUGUUUACCACCUUCUCAUCGCUGUUGCCUUCGAUCUCCUUAUGGAAAUUGUUGAGGAAGGUCUGCAGAUCCUCGGGGUCCUCGUCCUUUUUUGUCCUCCUUGGCAUUCCUAUGGAC
RNAcentral lists this long non-coding RNA (467 nucleotides) under Drosophila melanogaster (fruit fly). RNAcentral's name for it is "antisense RNA:CR45822 (Dmel_CR45822)". The record is from RNAcentral. Lineage: Eukaryota; Metazoa; Arthropoda; Insecta; Diptera; Drosophilidae.